CACAUACACACCUAAGCACACACAGCAUCAGGCCGUUAAAUUGCUUUCUUGUUGUUUUCCAGCGUAAAGCUUCAGGGAGAGAAUGCUAAAUUGAGGCAGGAAUUGGAGAAGCUUAGGUGCCUGUACAAGCUGCAAGUAAACGAGUAAACGAGGGGCCUGAGGAGAAAUAUGAGGAGGCAAGGCAUAACCUGUUCCAAGCCCAGCUGAUACAGCUUAAGAGACAGUGUCAGCAUUCGGCGGUGAUAUCUGGUUGUCACGGAAACAUAGUCCCAUGAUCCCAAGCCCACAGCUGAGUCCCAGGAAGAAAAGAGAGAAAGAGAUGCAGUGUACCAGCCUGAUCAUUUCCACAAGAAAAUGAGGUGAGAGUAAACACUGUCACUCCAAGUCAA
Molecule: long non-coding RNA, 389 nt
Organism: Siniperca chuatsi (mandarin fish)
Lineage: Eukaryota; Metazoa; Chordata; Actinopteri; Centrarchiformes; Sinipercidae
Exons: 3
Source: RefSeq, a predicted model, not a curated record